AGAGUUUGAUCCUGGCUCAGAACGAACGCUGGCGGCGUGCCUAACACAUGCAAGUCGAGCGCGAAAGUCCCUUCGGGGGCGAGUAGAGCGGCGGACGGGUGAGUAAUACAUGGAUAAUCUCCCUUCGAGCUCGGGAUAACACUGCGAAAGCGGUGCUAAUACCGGAUAAGACCACGUCACCCAGGUGAUGCGGUAAAAGAUGGCUUUGUUUUCGGAUGAGGCUAUCACUUGAGGAUGAGUCCAUGGCCUAUCAGCUUGUUGGUGAGGUAAAGGCUCACCAAGGCGAUGACGGGUAGCUGGUCUGAGAGGACGACCAGCCACACUGGGACUGAGACACGGCCCAGACUCCUACGGGAGGCAGCAGUGGGGAAUAUUGGGCAAUGGGCGAAAGCCUGACCCAGCGACGCCGUGUGGGCGAUGAAGGCCUUCGGGUUGUAAAGCCCUGUUGGGUGGAAAGAAGGGCUCUAGGACGAAUAAUCCCUGAGUCUUGACGGUACCACCAGAGGAAGCACCGGCUAACUCCGUGCCAGCAGCCGCGGUAAUACGGAGGGUGCAAGCGUUGUUCGGAAUUACUGGGCGUAAAGGGCGCGUAGGUGGUUGUGUAAGUCAGAUGUGAAAUCCCGAGGCUCAACCUCGGAACUGCAUCUGAUACUGCAUGACUAGAGUGCAGCAGAGGGAAACGGAAUUCCCAGUGUAGAGGUGAAAUUCGUAGAUAUUGGGAGGAACACCGGUGGCGAAGGCGGUUUCCUGGGCUGACACUGACACUGAGGCGCGAAAGCGUGGGUAGCAAACAGGAUUAGAUACCCUGGUAGUCCACGCUGUAAACGG
RNAcentral lists this ribosomal RNA (828 nucleotides) under uncultured bacterium. RNAcentral's name for it is "bacterial SSU rRNA". It matches the Rfam family "Bacterial small subunit ribosomal RNA", at positions 8 to 809 of the family's 1533-position model. The record is from RNAcentral.